This 1576-nucleotide long non-coding RNA is filed under the name Brassica rapa (field mustard). RNAcentral describes it as "long non-coding RNA (BRAP_LNC003223)". The record is from RNAcentral. Lineage: Eukaryota; Viridiplantae; Streptophyta; Magnoliopsida; Brassicales; Brassicaceae.
UCUACAAGUCGCCGCCUCCUCCAACCCCAACAUAUGUCUACAAAUCGCCUCCUCCUCCUACCCCAACAUACGUAUACAAGUCUCCUCCACCACCAACUCCAACUUACGUAUACAAAUCACCACCACCGCCGACUCCAACUUACGUCUACAAGUCGCCUCCUCCACCUACGCCAACCUAUGUCUAUAAAUCUCCACCGCCACCAACCCCGACUUAUGUUUACAAGUCACCACCACCUCCGACUCCGACAUACAUUUACAAGUCUCCACCACCUCCUACUCCGACUUAUGUCUACAAGUCACCACCUCCACCAACCCCUACAUAUGUCUAUAAGUCACCACCUCCACCCACUCCGACCUACGUCUACAAGUCACCACCACCUCCAACUCACACUCCUACACCAUACUACUACCAUUCUCCACCACCACCAGUAAAAUCCCCUCCACCUCCUUAUUACUACCACUCACCACCACCACCGGUUAAAUCUCCACCACCACCAUACUACUAUCAUUCACCACCUCCUCUGGUGAAGUCUCCUCCACCACCAUACUAUUACCAUUCACCACCACCUCCAGUAAAAUCUCCUCCCCCCCCAUACUACUAUCACUCCCCACCUCCUCCAGUGAAGUCUCCUCCGCCACCUUACUAUUAUCACUCCCCACCUCCUCCAGUAAAAUCACCACCACCACCAUAUUAUUACCACUCUCCACCUCCUCCCGUGAAAUCCCCCCCACCUCCAUACUACUACCACUCACCACCCCCUCCGGUAAAAUCACCCCCACCACCAUAUUACUAUCACUCCCCACCUCCACCAGUGAAAUCCCCACCACCACCGUACUACUACCAUUCUCCACCCCCACCGGUAAAAUCUCCGCCACCACCAUACUAUUACCACUCCCCACCUCCUCCGGUGAAAUCUCUACCACCACCGUACUAUUACCAUUCACCACCUCCUCCGGUGAAAUCUCCUCCUCCACCAUACUACUAUCACUCACCUCCUCCACCAGUAAAAUCUCCUCCGCCACCGUACUAUUACCACUCUCCACCUCCUCCAGUGAAGUCGCCUCCACCUCCUUAUUACUACCACUCACCUCCUCCUCCGGUGAAAUCCCCACCACCACCAUAUUAUUACCACUCACCACCCCCACCCGUCAAAUCUCCUCCACCUCCAUAUUAUUACCACUCACCACCUCCUCCGGUGAAAUCUCCACCACCACCAUAUUAUUACCACUCACCUCCUCCUCCGGUGAAAUCUCCACCACCACCAUAUUACUACCAUUCACCUCCCCCUCCAGUCAAAUCUCCACCACCACCAUAUUACUACCAUUCACCUCCCCCUCCAGUGAAAUCCCCACCACCACCAUAUUACUACCAUUCACCACCUCCUCCAGUGAAAUCUCCACCACCACCAUACUACUACAACUCUCCACCACCACCAGUAAAAUCUCCCCCACCUCCCGUCUACAUCUACGCUUCUCCCCCACCUCCUACCCAUUACUAGGCUCGUCAAAUUCAACCAAGUUUCCCCAUUAUUCAAGUAAGUCCCAAGGCUCCAAUAUUCUAAGUAUGCUCCAUAUC